GUCAAGAGUGCUCCACAAAGCAUUUGGUAUGGCCCAGACCGCCCAAAGUACCUGGGUCCAUUCUCUGAGCAAACUCCAUCUUACCUUACUGGUGAAUUCCCUGGUGACUAUGGAUGGGACACUGCUGGUUUAUCUGCAGAUCCUGAGACAUUUGCUAAGAACCGUGAGCUUGAGGUAAUUCACUGCAGAUGGGCCAUGCUUGGUGCACUUGGCUGCGUCUUCCCUGAAAUCCUUUCGAGGAAUGGUGUCAAAUUUGGCGAGGCAGUUUGGUUCAAAGCUGGAGCCCAAAUCUUUUCUGAAGGUGGUCUUGAUUACCUUGGCAACCCAAACCUUAUCCAUGCUCAGAGCAUUCUUGCAAUUUGGGCUGUCCAGGUUGUGCUAAUGGGAUUUGUUGAAGGCUAUAGAGUUGGUGGAGGACCACUCGGUGAAGGACUUGAUCCCAUUUACCCUGGUGGUGCCUUUGACCCUCUGGGACUAGCUGAUGAUCCUGACGCAUUUGCAGAAUUGAAAGUCAAAGAGAUUAAGAACGGACGUUUGGCAAUGUUUUCCAUGUUUGGAUUCUUUGUUCAGGCUAUUGUGACUGGAAAGGGACCUAUUGAGAAUCUCUAUGAUCACUUAGCUGAUCCAGUGGCUAACAAUGCAUGGGCUUAUGCCACUAACUUUGUACCUGGAAAAUGAAGAGAGAAUCAGGUUACAACAUUACUCAGUCCUGGUCCUUCUAAUUUCUUGAAAUGUUACUUUCUUAUUGUGGACUCCAUCAUUACUCGUGUUUUAGUAGUGGAAAUCAAGCAUUGUAUCAACAAAGCGUCAGAUCAGAUUUCUCCCUGCUUGAACCUAUGUAUUUGGUACGAAUAUGCCAUAAAUUACUUUAAAAAA
This 876-nucleotide unclassified non-coding RNA is filed under the name Hevea brasiliensis (rubber tree). The record is from RNAcentral. Lineage: Eukaryota; Viridiplantae; Streptophyta; Magnoliopsida; Malpighiales; Euphorbiaceae.